RNAcentral lists this ribosomal RNA (253 nucleotides) under uncultured bacterium. RNAcentral's name for it is "partial 16S ribosomal RNA". It matches the Rfam family "Bacterial small subunit ribosomal RNA", at positions 524 to 776 of the family's 1533-position model. The record is from RNAcentral.
UACGUAGGGUGCAAGCGUUAAUCGGAAUUACUGGGCGUAAAGCGUGCGCAGGCGGUUAUGCAAGACAGAUGUGAAAUCCCCGGGCUCAACCUGGGAACUGCAUUCAAAACUGACAAGCUAGAGUAUGGUAGAGGGUGGUGGAAUUUCCUGUGUAGCGGUGAAAUGCGUAGAUAUAGGAAGGAACACCAGUGGCGAAGGCGACCACCUGGACUGAUACUGACACUGAGGUGCGAAAGCGUGGGGAGCAAACAGG